GACGAACGCUGGCGGCGUGCCUAAUACAUGCAAGUCGAACGAGAGCGACCGGUGCUUGCACUGGUCAAUCUAGUGGCGAACGGGUGAGUAACACGUGAGUAACCUGCCCCCUUCUUUGGGAUAACGCCCGGAAACGGGUGCUAAUACUGGAUAUUCACUGGUCUUCGCAUGGGGGUUGGUGGAAAGGGUUUUUCUGGUGGGGGAUGGGCUCGCGGCCUAUCAGCUUGUUGGUGGGGUGAUGGCCUACCAAGGCUUUGACGGGUAGCCGGCCUGAGAGGGUGACCGGUCACAUUGGGACUGAGAUACGGCCCAGACUCCUACGGGAGGCAGCAGUGGGGAAUAUUGCACAAUGGGCGCAAGCCUGAUGCAGCGACGCCGCGUGAGGGAUGGAGGCCUUCGGGUUGUGAACCUCUUUCGCUCAUGGUCAAGCCGCAACAAUGGUUGUGGUGAGGGUAGUGGGUAAAGAAGCGCCGGCUAACUACGUG
RNAcentral lists this ribosomal RNA (485 nucleotides) under uncultured bacterium. RNAcentral describes it as "partial 16S ribosomal RNA". It matches the Rfam family "Bacterial small subunit ribosomal RNA", at positions 28 to 507 of the family's 1533-position model. The record is from RNAcentral.